RNAcentral lists this RNase P RNA (324 nucleotides) under Thermofilum sp. RNAcentral's name for it is "RNase P RNA component". It matches the Rfam family "Archaeal RNase P". Rfam says of the family: Ribonuclease P (RNase P) is a ubiquitous endoribonuclease, found in archaea, bacteria and eukarya as well as chloroplasts and mitochondria. Lineage: Archaea; Thermoproteati; Thermoproteota; Thermoprotei; Thermofilales; Thermofilaceae. The record is from RNAcentral.
GUCAGCCGGUGGGCGGGUGCCGGAUCCCUACGGCAACGGGGGAUCCGAGGAAGCUCCGCCAGAGCUGCGGGCCCGCGCCGCCGCAAGGCGGUGGGGGGAAGCCCCAGGCAACGGCGCAGAAACGCACCCCCCUCUCGGCGAUGAGCAUGAUGCGGUAAACCUCCGGUAACGGAGGCUUUCCCGCUGAGGAGUUUGGAGGGGAGGGUGAAACGGCCGUCCCGCGGGUCAGGGCCAAGCAGGGCCUGUGAGGUCCCGCAGCGAGGUCCGGGUAGGCCCCCAGACGAACCCCGCCUAGAAACAGAAGGCGGGCUACUACCGGCUGAC